Small nucleolar RNA from Aotus nancymaae (Ma's night monkey), 136 nucleotides. Its record names the gene U8. It matches the Rfam family "U8 small nucleolar RNA". Rfam says of the family: U8 is a member of the C/D class of snoRNA which contain the C (UGAUGA) and D (CUGA) box motifs. Lineage: Eukaryota; Metazoa; Chordata; Mammalia; Primates; Aotidae. The record is from Ensembl.
CUGUCAGGUGGGAUAACCCUUACUUGUUCCUCCUUUUGGAGGGCAGAUAGAGAACAUGAUGAUUGGAGAUGCAUGAAAUGUGACUAACAUCUCUGUGUAAUCAGGACUUGCAACACCCUGAUUGCUCCUAUCUGAU